AUCAGAGCCAACUCGAUCUGAAUCAGAGUCGGCUCUAUCUGGAUCCGAGCUAGCUCGACAGCUGUGUCAUCCACUGAUGCUAGAAAUACAGCUCUCUGUCUGUUGUCCGAGCCGGCUCUCUCAGAGCUCGAGCCGACUUGACUGCUGAAUGAUACUCCUGAUGCUUCCUUCAUAUCUUGUCCUUUCCUCAUCAGUUCUCAA
Molecule: long non-coding RNA, 201 nt
Filed under: Elaeis guineensis (African oil palm)
Lineage: Eukaryota; Viridiplantae; Streptophyta; Magnoliopsida; Arecales; Arecaceae
Description: long non-coding RNA (EGUI_LNC012683)
Source: RNAcentral